AGUGAACGCUGGCGGUAGGCCUAACACAUGCAAGUCGAACGGCAGCACAGUAAGAGCUUGCUCUUACGGGUGGCGCGUGGCGGACGGGUGAGGAAUACAUCGGAAUCUACUUUUUCGUGGGGGAUAACGUAGGGAAACUUACGCUAAUACCGCAUACGACCUACGGGUGAAAGCAGGGGAUCUUCGGACCUUGCGCGAUUGAAUGAGCCGAUGUCGGAUUAGCUAGUUGGCGGGGUAAAGGCCCACCAAGGCGACGAUCCGUAGCGGGUCUGAGAGGAUGAUCAGCCACACUGGAACUGAGACACGGUCCAGACUCCUACGGGAGGCAGCAGUGGGGAAUAUUGGACAAUGGGCGCAAGCCUGAUCCAGCCAUACCGCGUGGGUGAAGAAGGCCUUCGGGUUGUAAAGCCCUUUUGUUGGGAAAGAAAUCCAGCCGGCUAAUACCUGGUUGGGAUGACGGUACCCAAAGAAUAAGCACCGGCUAACUUCGUGCCAGCCGCCGCCGUAA
Molecule: ribosomal RNA, 508 nt
Filed under: uncultured bacterium
Lineage: Bacteria
Description: partial 16S ribosomal RNA
Rfam family: Bacterial small subunit ribosomal RNA
Source: RNAcentral